UACAGAGGGUGCGAGCGUUGUUCGGAAUUACUGGGCGUAAAGGGCGCGUAGGCGGUUCGAUAAGUCCCGUGUGAAAUCCCUCGGCUCAACUGAGGAACUGCACGGGAAACUGACGGGCUUGAGUUCGGGAGAGGGAAGCGGAAUUCCGGGUGUAGCGGUGAAAUGCGUAGAUAUCCGGAGGAACACCGGUGGCGAAGGCGGCUUCCUGGACCGACACUGACGCUGAGGCGCGAAAGCUAGGGGAGCAAACGGG
RNAcentral lists this ribosomal RNA (253 nucleotides) under uncultured bacterium. Its description in RNAcentral is "partial 16S ribosomal RNA". It matches the Rfam family "Bacterial small subunit ribosomal RNA", at positions 524 to 776 of the family's 1533-position model. The record is from RNAcentral.